UACGUAGGCAGCAAGCGUUGUUCGGAAUUACUGGGCGUAAAGAGUGUGUAGGCGGUGCUCUAAGUUCGGUGUGAAAUCUCCUGGCUUAACUGGGAGGGUGCGCCGGAAACUGGAAUGCUCGAGCGUGGGAGAGGAAAGCGGAAUUCCUGGUGUAGCGGUGAAAUGCGUAGAUAUCAGGAGGAACACCUGUGGUGUAGACAGCUUUCUGGACCAUUGCUGACGCUGAGACACGAAAGCGUGGGUAGCAAACAGG
Molecule: ribosomal RNA, 253 nt
Filed under: Acidobacterium sp.
Lineage: Bacteria; Pseudomonadati; Acidobacteriota; Terriglobia; Terriglobales; Acidobacteriaceae
Description: partial 16S ribosomal RNA
Rfam family: Bacterial small subunit ribosomal RNA
Source: RNAcentral